This is a long non-coding RNA of Cygnus olor (mute swan), 1191 nucleotides long. RefSeq lists it as uncharacterized. Lineage: Eukaryota; Metazoa; Chordata; Aves; Anseriformes; Anatidae. The transcript has 3 exons. The record is from RefSeq and is a predicted model, not a curated record.
UGAACUUGGUUGUGUUAUUUGCUCUUUUGACAUGAGAAGGCUUUUUCCAAGGGCUUUUGAAGGUCUCUAGUGGUUUGCCAUCUCCUUACAGGUACUUUGUAUAUUUGUCUUCAAGGAUGACUUAUCUUCUGGAGCACUGAAGGAAUUGAGUUCUGCCGAAGAAAUUAUUUAUGAAGAUUUUCCAAGUUGCUCAGAGCUUCAGAUGGAGGAGGUAGUUGAAUAUGACUUCUUUAAUGAAACAGGCUGAGAUGUCAUGAAUGAGUUAAAAGGUCACAGGAAGGAGAUGUUGGACCAAGAACCUUGUGCUUAAAGAAUGAUCAUAAAAAGAGGGAGAAGAUCAACAGGAAGAUUUUAUUUUAAUACAACAAUCCAUAAAGAAAUUAAAUCACUUGUGAGAAAGAAACCUUUGAUUUUAAAGUUAAAAUUCCAACAGAAAGUUUAAGGUUUGAAAUAAUAGAUUUUUAUAUUAAAGCUAACCUCAGAACUGAUUGAAAACUAGGGCACAUAAGGCUUCUUAGACCUCUUUCUGCCAUCUAUCUUCACUUCAACAGGUAUGUGAAACAUGAAUUCUUUAGAUAUAUAAACUCUCAUGUCUAAGCAAAACACUGGUAGAGGACUCUCUAGGAGUACUCCAGCUGCCAAAUCCAAUGCUUUCCAUAAUCAGGCAUCAGUCUGGAGUACAGCAUGAUGUACAGCUGUAGUGAUCCUGGUGGGUGAGCUUCUUAUGGCCACUGAGAGAGGGAAGAUGUGUAUGUUACUGUUACUUGAUCCAUCAACAGCCUUCAACACCACCAGUCCCUUGGGUGCAGCUGAUUCACUUACAGGACCUGGCAGGCCUGGAUGUGCAGCUCUGUGUGGGCUCUGCAUGUUCCUCUUGGACAGAUAACAGAAGACCCUCCCUCAUGGGAUACGUAGCUUUCAAUCCCAUCUUCUGCCUUUGCAAACAUAUUUGUGGGAUCUAUCAUCAAGAGCACUCGCACAGUUGCCUGUCUACUUUUGCAGAGGCAGUCAAUGUUAUUGCCCAGAUGUCCCAGUGCUGGUGAGAAAAAAGUACAUGGAUGAAAAGAAGCUGGAUCCAAUUAUUUGUGGAUAAGACACGGUGAGUUUCACAGGGAAAGGGAAUACUUCAAGGAUCUCACCUUUUGUUGAAGGUUUACCCUACUGAUAAUCAGCAUGAUUCACAGAUCCAAA